UCCUUCCUUGUCUUGGGGAGCAGAAAUGUUCAAUGAACGUCUAGUGAGGACAUUGCUGCUGACACCAAAGAUAUAAUUAUCACCCCCGUUCGCAGAUCUUGCUUGGAUAAGCGUUCGGAAUUUUUGGAAAU
This is a small nuclear RNA of Drosophila albomicans, 131 nucleotides long. RefSeq annotates it as U4atac minor spliceosomal RNA. The record is from RefSeq and is a predicted model, not a curated record. Lineage: Eukaryota; Metazoa; Arthropoda; Insecta; Diptera; Drosophilidae. The transcript has a single exon.